This 361-nucleotide unclassified non-coding RNA is filed under the name Hevea brasiliensis (rubber tree). The record is from RNAcentral. Lineage: Eukaryota; Viridiplantae; Streptophyta; Magnoliopsida; Malpighiales; Euphorbiaceae.
CAGAUUCAGAUGGACCAUUCCCUACCAUUUGUACUCCUUGACCUUCUAACUGCUGUGGUAUAGAGGAAGUUGUUUCUGAGUCUUUAUUUGAAUGAAAAUUGGAUUUAAACAUAUUGGUUGACGCCUUAAAAGCCUGCGCAUCAAAUGAACGUUGCUGCAUUGAAAUACUGGUCCAAUCAGUAACUGACAUUCUUGCAGAAGCAUUCUCCUGUGAUGUGCCAGAUAUAUUAGAACCCUGAGGAGCUGGCACAACUUCCAAAACAGGAAAUUGCCGGGCUGAAUCUUUUUUGCAAUUUUGCUUGUUAUUACUCAGCUGAUGCAUCUCACCGGAGGAAGUAACAUCAUUAUGUGAAGUAACUCU